RNAcentral lists this ribosomal RNA (276 nucleotides) under Triticum aestivum (bread wheat). RNAcentral describes it as "partial small subunit ribosomal RNA". Lineage: Eukaryota; Viridiplantae; Streptophyta; Magnoliopsida; Poales; Poaceae. The record is from RNAcentral.
AUGUGGGCACGGAGAUUGACAGCGACGAAGGUAGCAGACAUAAACCCAGCAACACCAGCAAUAACCCAUCUGAAUAUUUCUAUUGGCACAAUUGACAGAAGCUGUAACACAAAUGGAAAAGAAAAAUUCGAUCUGCAUACUGAGGAUGUACUGACCGAGGCUGGAAUGAAGAUGAACAAAGAGUACCCAUACAGGCACCACAAUUGCACGAGUCCAGCAGGUGCUGAGAAGUACUUAAGAAUGACAUAUAACCCAAGGGGAACAAAUGUCACAUAG